RNAcentral lists this long non-coding RNA (461 nucleotides) under Zea mays. Its description in RNAcentral is "long non-coding RNA (ZMAY_LNC005868)". Lineage: Eukaryota; Viridiplantae; Streptophyta; Magnoliopsida; Poales; Poaceae. The record is from RNAcentral.
GGACCUGCUUCUUAAAUGAAAAGCUUUUUUUCUUUUCUUUUUAAUCUGAAACUACUCGGAAGCAGAUGAAAGGAUUCCCGAUCACAACCUUGCCAAGGUACUCUUUCAGUAUCUCAAUGUCACCCAUGUAGUCCUGGUUCUCAAUGGUCAGCGUGAUGGGCUUUGCAUCUGAACCAGGCCCUUCGAACUGAAUGCCUCCUGGAGUCCUGUAGAAGUCGUCAAGGAGGAAGCUUGAAGCCUUCUCUCGCAGCAACCUGAAUGAUGCAGGAACAAAGUCAAUCCCGUUCACCUUCCUUCCAGGUCGCAUCCUUUCCUCUACUUAUCGGGGGAAAAAAAAGCAGGACCAGGUAUCAAAGCCCUGAACAAUGUGGACUUACUCAUAAGCCUUCCCUUUCAGGUCAAUUGGAGAAGGGUGAAUGGAAGGCCUCCCUAUAGGGAUUGCUCCAGGGCCACGUAAAUGC